UUGUUCCUUCCCAGCCAUUAUUUAUACAUUCAAUAUUACGUAAGGUAUACAUAUUCAUUACAGGUUGCAACAUCAGCCUCGCAUUCCAUUCCAAUUAGCUCUCCUCCCAUUUGCACAUGCGUGGUGCUCUCUGGUGGUUGUCCAGGUGGUCGUCCAGAUGAAGUAAGGAGUCUUCCUCUCUGUUAAACUUUUCACCUUUCUCACUCGACGCAUGCUCUCUCCGCUCCUUGGUUCUGGUUCAACUCACUUCAGCAUUUUCAGGUUCUUAUCAAAGGUCAGGUUGUACCUGUUCUCUCACAGGGGUCCCUUUCAAGGAUUUAUUUGACUGUUCGGUAUACUCCCUAAAUAUCUUAGUAUAGAUAAAUUUGAUAAUGUAAAUACACU
This is a long non-coding RNA of Cygnus olor (mute swan), 384 nucleotides long. RefSeq lists it as uncharacterized. Lineage: Eukaryota; Metazoa; Chordata; Aves; Anseriformes; Anatidae. The transcript is spliced from 3 exons. The record is from RefSeq and is a predicted model, not a curated record.